GCCAGUGUGAUGCAGUGGUUUUAGCAUUGGACUAUGACUCUGGGAAACAGGGUUCAAAUCCCUGCUUAGCCA
Phrynosoma platyrhinos (Desert horned lizard) is the source of this 72-nucleotide non-coding RNA. The record is from the annotation of a GenBank genome assembly. NCBI's taxonomy places the organism in Eukaryota, Metazoa, Chordata, Lepidosauria, Squamata, Phrynosomatidae.